Molecule: ribosomal RNA, 253 nt
Filed under: uncultured bacterium
Lineage: Bacteria
Description: partial 16S ribosomal RNA
Rfam family: Bacterial small subunit ribosomal RNA
Source: RNAcentral
GACGAAGGGGGCUAGCGUUGUUCGGAAUUACUGGGCGUAAAGCGCGUGUAGGCGGUUGCCCAAGUCGGGAGUGAAAGCCUUGAGCUCAACUCAAGAAAUGCACUCGGUACUGGGUGACUAGAGGACCGGAGAGGAUAGUGGAAUUCCCAGUGUAGUGGUGAAAUACAUAGAGAUUGGGAAGAACACCAGUGGCGAAGGCGGCUAUCUGGACGGUUUCUGACGCUAAGACGCGAAAGCGUGGGGAGCAAACAGG